This 823-nucleotide long non-coding RNA is filed under the name Mus pahari (shrew mouse). Its description in RNAcentral is "lncRNA (MGP_PahariEiJ_G0002914.1)". The record is from RNAcentral. Lineage: Eukaryota; Metazoa; Chordata; Mammalia; Rodentia; Muridae.
GGAGGGAGGCUGAGGAGCCCGAGAGCUCUGCGCCGGUCCCGCGCCCUGUCACCGCGUCUCCGAGCGCUCUGGUCUCGGGAACUGCGGGCUCCGCUGGGCGCCCGCGGCCCUCCUCCGGCGACGCUGAUUGGCGAUGGCUUAGGCUCCGCCCUAAAGGGGCGUGACCGCGCGCUUAGCCAGGUGUGCUAGGAUGGUCCUGGUCCUCGAGCCAUCAAAGGACCAGGAGCCAGGACCAACCUCAGCCUACGGCUGGUGGCGCACGUACGAGGCACUGUCAGAAUCCCUGCUGAUGGAAGGGCCCAGGUGGGCCUGUGGCAGACAUCUUAGAAUCCCACCAAUGUCAAGGCUUGAGUAUCGCAACGGCUGCAAGUUCGAGCCCAGCCCAGGCUAAAUAGAGCCUGUCAAAAAUAAUAAGUCAUGAUGUAAAUAAAUAGGUGAGGUAGCCUGUUUGUAAUACCAGCUCUUGGGAAGCUAAAGGAAAUGUGUUUGGUUACGUACCUGGACAAGGAACUUAGGUGCAUAUUUUACAUACCAAAGCAGACUUGGCCUCCAGGUUUCCCCAGCAUCCAUUUAGUCCCUAUCUGGCAUUCCCUGCCCCCAACCUUGAAAUUUGCAGCCCGGGUUUUGGGCUGCCCUUCCCCCCAGAGGCUCCUCCCUAUAUAAUCCAGACGUUUUCUCAGGCUCCUCUCUGCCCAAUUGCCCUUUCUUUUUUUUUCUCUCUCUCCCUCCCUCGCCCAACCCUUCCCCGUGACAACUCCUGAGGCCAGUGAACUAGCCUGCCUGAGAGCAGCUUCCCAAUAAACCUGCCUUUAAUAGAAUCUAA